CUGAGUUUACAACUCCCAAACCCUCGCGAACCUUACCUUUCAGUUGCUUCGGCGGUGUCGCCCCGGUGCCUGCGUGCCCGGAACCAGGCGCCCGCCGGAGGCCCAUGAAAACCAUUUGCAUCUCUCCCGGUGGUACCAUCUGAGUGGCUUGCAAAGCAAAUCAAAUCA
This 168-nucleotide unclassified non-coding RNA is filed under the name uncultured Hypocreales. RNAcentral describes it as "sequence contains ITS1". Lineage: Eukaryota; Fungi; Ascomycota; Sordariomycetes; Hypocreales. The record is from RNAcentral.